Molecule: transfer RNA, 68 nt
Filed under: Xenopeltis hainanensis
Lineage: Eukaryota; Metazoa; Chordata; Lepidosauria; Squamata; Xenopeltidae
Description: tRNA-Arg
Source: RNAcentral
ACAAGGGUAGUCUACACCAGACAUCUGAUUUCGACUCAGAAGACCUUAUACCACUCUAAGCCCUUGCA